GGCUGCCCCAGGAGCUGCAGCCCAGCAGGAGUCUCGGUGCUGAGGCCUGUGCUGAUCACCCGAGGCUUGGAAGAGGUAGCCCAGGAGAAAUUAAAGGAGAAGAAUUCAAGACUAGAAAAUUAGGUGGUCAGUGCAUGUCUCCGGUUCUCACCAUCAGCCUCUUCUGAGUCUCAGCCUGACCUUCCUUAAAGCAGCAGAGUCUCUCGAACUCCGGGAUCACUUUCCAUUUCAAGAGUCUGAGUGUGGGUGACACUGCUGGAGCCACGAAUACAUUCCAUCAUCUGCCUCCACCAAACUUGCAGUUCUUCAGGGAAAGUUGCAGAUACAUAUUUCUCAGGACAAUGAAAAGACAUCAGACUUCCCAGAAGAAACACUGAAUGCCUGAGCCAUGAGAAGGUGCACAGCCCACGGCCCUUCACCUGUAAGUGAGGAGCUUGGUUGAGACAGUG
Chinchilla lanigera (long-tailed chinchilla) is the source of this 449-nucleotide long non-coding RNA. RefSeq lists it as uncharacterized. The record is from RefSeq and is a predicted model, not a curated record. NCBI's taxonomy places the organism in Eukaryota, Metazoa, Chordata, Mammalia, Rodentia, Chinchillidae. The transcript has 3 exons.